This 459-nucleotide ribosomal RNA is filed under the name uncultured bacterium. RNAcentral's name for it is "SSU rRNA". It matches the Rfam family "Bacterial small subunit ribosomal RNA", at positions 26 to 518 of the family's 1533-position model. The record is from RNAcentral.
AGAAUCAACGCUGGCGGCGUGCCUAACACAUGCAAGUCGAACGAGAAAGUGGAGCAAUCCAUGAGUAAAGUGGCGACCGGGUGAGUAACACGUGACUAACCUACCUUCGAGUGGGGGAUAACCUCGGGAAACCGAGGCUAAUACCGCAUAACAUCGCAAGAUCAAAGCAGCAAUGCGCUGGAAGAGGGGGUCGCGGCUGAUUAGCUAGUUGGCGGGGUAACGCCCACCAAGGCGAAGAUCGGUAGCCGGCCUGAGAGGGCGCACGGCCACACUGGAACUGAAACACGGUCCAGACUCCUACGGGAGGCAGCAGUGGGGAAUUUUGCGCAAUGGGGGAAACCCUGACGCAGCAACGCCGCGUGGAGGAUGAAGCCCCUUGGGGCGUAAACUCCUUUCGACCAAGACGAUAAUGACGGUACUGGUGGAAGAAGCACCGGCUAACUCUGUGCCAGCGGCCGC